RNAcentral lists this ribosomal RNA (467 nucleotides) under uncultured bacterium. RNAcentral's name for it is "partial 16S ribosomal RNA". It matches the Rfam family "Bacterial small subunit ribosomal RNA", at positions 28 to 507 of the family's 1533-position model. The record is from RNAcentral.
GAUGAACGCUGACAGAAUGCUUAACACAUGCAAGUCAACUUGAAUUUGGGUUUUUAACUUAGGUUUGGGUGGCGGACGGGUGAGUAACGCGUAAAGAACUUGCCUCACAGCUAGGGACAACAUUUGGAAACGAAUGCUAAUACCUAAUAUUAUGAUAAUAGGGCAUCCUAUAAUUAUGAAAGCUAUAAGCGCUGUGAGAGAGCUUUGCGUCCCAUUAGCUAGUUGGAGAGGUAACGGCUCGCCAAGGCGAUGAUGGGUAGCCGGCCUGAGAGGGUGAUCGGCCACAAGGGGACGGAGACACGGCCCUUACUCCUACGGGAGGCAGCAGUGGGGAAUAUUGGACAAGGGACCAAGAGUCUGAUCCAGCAAUUCUGUGUGCACGAUGAAGUUUUUCGGAAUGUAAAGUGCUUUCAGUUGGGAAGAAAGAAAUGACGGUACCAACAGAAGAAGUGACGGCUAAAUACGUG